RNAcentral lists this ribosomal RNA (301 nucleotides) under uncultured bacterium. RNAcentral's name for it is "partial 16S ribosomal RNA". It matches the Rfam family "Bacterial small subunit ribosomal RNA", at positions 509 to 809 of the family's 1533-position model. The record is from RNAcentral.
CAGUCGCCACGGUAAUACGUAGGGUGCAAGCGUUAAUCGGAAUUACUGGGCGUAAAGCGUGCGCAGGCGGUUAUGCAAGACAGAUGUGAAAUCCCCGGGCUUAACCUGGGAACUGCAUUUGUGACUGCAUAGCUAGAGUGCGGCAGAGGGGGAUGGAAUUCCGCGUGUAGCAGUGAAAUGCGUAGAUAUGCGGAGGAACACCGAUGGCGAAGGCAAUCCCCUGGGCCUGCACUGACGCUCAUGCACGAAAGCGUGGGGAGCAAACAGGAUUAGAUACCCCUGUAGUCCCUGUCUCUUAUAU